UUUACAACAAUGAAAACGAGUUUCCAAAACCUUUCAUAUUUAGAAAAAGCUUUAAAUAAAUUAGAAAUUGUACACCAAAAACAGACAUCUGAACGUGGUACUACAAAAUCAAAUUUAGUUAUCCGUCAAUCUAAUGGUUAUGAUAUUGAAUUUGCUUGGAACGGUCAAGAAUAUGAGUUAAUAGUUGAUAUGAGUUUUUGGGAACAAACUUGUCCUGUGGAAAGUUUUAUUGAUAAAGUUGCUCAGCAUUAUGCUGGUGAAGUUAUUGUUGGUGAAAGUCAAAAACUAGGAUUCCAGCCGGUAAAAUACCAACAAAAUGAAGACGGAUCCAAUACUGUAGUAUUAGAACGUUGGAAUGAACGAAGCUAAUUAGAUUGUAUCAGCUCAAUAAAUCCAUAAAAGGGAUUUUGUUUUUUUCUUCUAUUUACCUAAUAAUAAUUUUAAAUUUAUAAGCAUUGUUAGGUGAAUAGUUUUUAUAGAUAAUUAUUAAAACCUAAAGACAUUAUAUAAGAGAAACAAGGAAAAAUCAAAUAUUUUUCAAUUUUUCCCUGUAAUCUUUUAAGCUUAAGGUUCUUAACGUGACAAACGUUGAAGUUGUUGAAUAGCUAAAGUGCCGAUGUUGAUUAACGCCCAAGUUGCUGCUGUUAGUAAAGGAAGAGCAAUUAUAAGUAAACGAGUAUCCAUAGCUGAAAAUCCUCUAUAAAUAUUAAAAAUUUAAAUACAGAAAAUGAUAUUAAUGAAUAAUAUUAUAAUCCACAUUAUAGUUCAUAUUAUAUAAUAAUAUUAGAAAUAUUUAUUAUCUAUAUCUUCUUAUCUUAUCCAUUUUCUGACUAAAUUUUAUUGAGAAUUAGACCUAAUAUAGGGUAGCAAUACUCAAUACUAAAAAAACGAUUAGAGAUUUAGUUUAAUUAAAACUUUGGCAUUGAGCUAUCUUCCCAGGAGGUCCCCCCCCAAGUAUUGUCGCCGAUUUAUAACGUUUCACAGCUGAGUUCGAGAUGGAUCAGCGUGGUUCCGUUCAGUACACUAGAAACACCAAAGCAAAAAUCUUUAAAGUAAUUGUACUUUAAAGAUAUAGGAUAUUUUUAAGAAAGUCUUUCUUAAAAAUAUCUUUUAAAAAUUCAAGUCCUCGGUCUGUUAGGACAUCUCAGCACAUACAUUACUGUACUUACACUUAAUGCCUAUUAAACGGUUAGUCUUACCGUGACCUUACUCACUUUCGUGAUGAGAAUACUCAUCUUGAGGUGGGCUUCCCACUUAGAUGCUUUCAGCGGUUAUCCACUCCAUACUUAGCUACCCAGCGUUUACCGUUGGCACGAUAACUGGUACACCAUAGGUAUGUCCUUCUCGGUCCUCUCGUACUAAAGAAGGCUCCUCUCAAUAUUCUAACGCCUACACCGGAUAUGGACCGAACUGUCUCACGACGUUCUGAACCCAGCUCGCGUACCGCUUUCAUGGGCGAACAGCCCAACCCUUGGGACGU
This 1480-nucleotide ribosomal RNA is filed under the name Chaetoceros curvisetus. Its description in RNAcentral is "Bacterial small subunit ribosomal RNA". Lineage: Eukaryota; Bacillariophyta; Thalassiosirophyceae; Chaetocerotales; Chaetocerotaceae. The record is from RNAcentral.